This 465-nucleotide ribosomal RNA is filed under the name Vreelandella stevensii. RNAcentral describes it as "partial 16S ribosomal RNA". It matches the Rfam family "Bacterial small subunit ribosomal RNA", at positions 338 to 795 of the family's 1533-position model. Lineage: Bacteria; Pseudomonadati; Pseudomonadota; Gammaproteobacteria; Oceanospirillales; Halomonadaceae. The record is from RNAcentral.
CCUACGGGGGGCUGCAGUGGGGAAUAUUGGACAAUGGGGGCAACCCUGAUCCAGCCAUGCCGCGUGUGUGAAGAAGGCCCUCGGGUUGUAAAGCACUUUCAGUGAGGAAGAACGCCUGGUGGUUAAUACCCAUCAGGAAAGACAUCACUCACAGAAGAAGCACCGGCUAACUCCGUGCCAACAGCCGCGGUAAUACGGAGGGUGCGAGCGUUAAUCGGAAUUACUGGGCGUAAAGCGCGCGUAGGUGGCUUGAUAAGCCGGUUGUGAAAGCCCCGGGCUCAACCUGGGAACGGCAUCCGGAACUGUCAAGCUAGAGUGCAGGAGAGGAAGGUAGAAUUCCCGGUGUAGCGGUGAAAUGCGUAGAGAUCGGGAGGAAUACCAGUGGCGAAGGCGGCCUUCUGGACUGACACUGACACUGAGGUGCGAAAGCGUGGGUAGCAAACAGGAUUAGAUACCCUGGUAGUC